Molecule: small nucleolar RNA, 121 nt
Filed under: Dasypus novemcinctus (nine-banded armadillo)
Lineage: Eukaryota; Metazoa; Chordata; Mammalia; Cingulata; Dasypodidae
Description: Small nucleolar RNA SNORA26 (ENSDNOG00000029339.1)
Rfam family: Small nucleolar RNA SNORA26
About the family: The snoRNA HBI-6 belong to the H/ACA family of snoRNAs, guiding the pseudouridylation of position U4522 if the 28S rRNA. HBI-6 is the human orthologue of mouse MBI-6 snoRNA.
Source: RNAcentral
UAGCACUUGAAACUAGCCUUGUUUAAAGUGAAUUGCUGCACAGAAGUGUAAAGUAAGUCUCCGAAAAACAGGAAGAAGAGAUUGUAAAACUCCUCUUUGGAUCCUGUCUGGAGUCACAGCU